CAGGGAAUCUUGCACAAUGGGCGAAAGCCUGAUGCAGCGACGCCGCGUGGGGGAUGAAGGCCUUAGGGUCGUAAACCCCUUUCAGCAGGGACGAAAAUGACGGUACCUGCAGAAGAAGCCCCGGCCAACUACGUGCCAGCAGCCGCGGUAAGACGUAGGGGGCGAGCGUUGUCCGGAUUUAUUGGGCGUAAAGAGCUCGUAGGCGGUUGCGUAAGUCGGAUGUGAAAACUCAGGGCUCAACCCUGAGACGCCAUCCGAUACUGCGCUGACUUGAAUCCAGUAGGGGAGUGUGGAAUUCCUGGUGUAGCGGUGAAAUGCGCAGAUAUCAGGAGGAACACCGAUGGCGAAGGCAGCCCCCUGGGCUAACACUGACGCUCAUGCACGAAAGCGUGGGGAGCAAACAGGAUUAGAUACCCCCGUAGUCCCUGAGCGGGCUGGCAAGGCGCAU
RNAcentral lists this ribosomal RNA (448 nucleotides) under uncultured bacterium. RNAcentral describes it as "bacterial SSU rRNA". It matches the Rfam family "Bacterial small subunit ribosomal RNA", at positions 355 to 825 of the family's 1533-position model. The record is from RNAcentral.